RNAcentral lists this non-coding RNA (23 nucleotides) under Arabidopsis thaliana (thale cress). Lineage: Eukaryota; Viridiplantae; Streptophyta; Magnoliopsida; Brassicales; Brassicaceae. The record is from RNAcentral.
GGUUCGGGUCGGUUCGAUUGUAA